UGGUGGAUUGAUCUGUCUGGUUAAUUCCGAUAACGAACGAGACCUUAACCUACUAACUAGUUCCCAGCAUUCCGAUGCUGGUAGCUUCUUAGAGGGACAAUGUGUGGCAAACACAUGGAAGUUUGAGGCAAUAACA
This 136-nucleotide ribosomal RNA is filed under the name uncultured eukaryote. RNAcentral describes it as "partial 18S ribosomal RNA". It matches the Rfam family "Eukaryotic small subunit ribosomal RNA", at positions 1299 to 1458 of the family's 1831-position model. The record is from RNAcentral.